GACGAACGCUGGCGGCGUGCUUAAUACAUGCAAGUCAACUGAACUUAAGGUAGCAAUAUUUUAAGGGAGGUGGCGCACGGGUGAGUAACACGUAGGUAAUCUGCCUUUAGGUCUGACAUAACCUACCGAAAGGUAGGCUAAAAUCAGAUGAUGCAGCGGCUCGACAUCGAGACAGUUGUUAAAUCUUCGGAGCCUAAAGAUGAGCCUGCGUCUGAUUAGGUAGUUGGCGGUGUAAUGGACCACCAAGCCUGCGAUCAGUAGCUGGUCUGAGAGGAUGAUCAGCCACACUGGAACUGAGACACGGUCCAGACUCCUACGGGAGGCAGCAGUAAGGAAUAUUGCUCAACGGCCGAAAGGCUGAAGCAGCAACGCCGCGUGGAGGAUGAAAUACUUUGUAUGUAAACUCCUGUAAGAAGGGAAAAUGUUCCGAUUCAUCGGAAUUGAUUGUACCUUCAGAGUAAGCCCCGGCUAACUACGUGCCAGCAGCCGCGG
RNAcentral lists this ribosomal RNA (492 nucleotides) under uncultured bacterium. RNAcentral's name for it is "bacterial SSU rRNA". It matches the Rfam family "Bacterial small subunit ribosomal RNA", at positions 28 to 520 of the family's 1533-position model. The record is from RNAcentral.